GAUUAGCUAGUUAGCUAGCUCCAGUAGCUACCGCAGGAUAACAACAAACAGAAGCUUGCUCUUGGUCACGAGCUUUGAGUACGUGCACGAAGGGGUCACUCGCGGGGAGCGGGGGAAUGAUUGACUUGUUUAAUUUUCAUGUCAGUAGGCUACUUCUAACUCAGUGGCUGUAAGUGGGUUAUGAUAAGGAUUUCAAGUAAUUUUCAAGUAAAAUUACACCGUCAGAGCCAGAGCGUCAGACUGGGCUGUUCUCAGCAUACCGCAAAAAAGUGAAGAGGGUUCAAGUUCCAGUCCCCAAAUUCAGUUGAACCACUACCUGGACAUGUGUGAUGGACAGAGCUGCCUUCAGUUUUGGGCCAUGAACAGGCGCACCCUCCCCUCUUUGUUCAAGGUGGAGGUAAGAGUUAUGGCAGUCCCUGCAUCAAGUGCACCUGUUGAACGUGUGUUCAGCCAUGGUGGGGUGAUAAUGUGACCCCAUCAUUCACAACUCAGUGACAAAGUACUGUCAAAUUAAUUUUUUUGCAAAUGCAAUGCAUUGUAAGUCGAUGUAUGUUGCGAGGCAGCAAGAUUGCUACCAGCUUUCAGGCUUGUGUAUUACUAUUUCCCCUUCCUACAGUAUGUGUAUGUGAUAUUACUUUUGAAAUAUUCUUUUUUUUCAUGUCUGAUGCCAUGUGUUGCAAAUAAUAUUCUACAACAUCUAGGGAGAUUGAGUUAUUGACUUGAACUGUUCUCGUAUACAGCCACCUAGAGGUUCUAUUUGAUUCUGUUCAUAGGUUCGAGGUAAUGAUCAUAAAAACAUUUUCAAACUAUUCACAUAAUGGUUUUGGAAUGUUUUGAAUAGUUUGAGUUAUUGUUAAUAUUAAGACAUUGUUAUUGUUAAUGUUGAAAUAAAAUGAACCACUCUCUUUACCGA
Long non-coding RNA from Gadus macrocephalus (Pacific cod), 913 nucleotides. RefSeq lists it as uncharacterized. The transcript has 2 exons. NCBI's taxonomy places the organism in Eukaryota, Metazoa, Chordata, Actinopteri, Gadiformes, Gadidae. The record is from RefSeq and is a predicted model, not a curated record.